RNAcentral lists this ribosomal RNA (428 nucleotides) under Bacteroidota bacterium. Its description in RNAcentral is "Bacteroidetes bacterium partial 16S ribosomal RNA". It matches the Rfam family "Bacterial small subunit ribosomal RNA", at positions 355 to 776 of the family's 1533-position model. The record is from RNAcentral. Lineage: Bacteria; Pseudomonadati; Bacteroidota.
UAGGGAAUCUUCCGCAAUGGACGCAAGUCUGACGGAGCAACGCCGCGUGAGUGAAGAAGGAUUUCGGUUCGUAAAACUCUGUUGUUAGAGAAGAACAGCGCAUAGAGUAACUGUUAUGCGUGUGACGGUAUCUAACCAGAAAGCCACGGCUAACUACGUGCCAGCAGCCGCGGUAAUACGUAGGUGGCAAGCGUUGUCCGGAUUUAUUGGGCGUAAAGCGAGCGCAGGCGGUUAGAUAAGUCUGAAGUUAAAGGCAGUGGCUCAACCAUCGUAGGCUUUGGAAACUGUUUAACUUGAGUGCAGAAGGGGAGAGUGGAAUUCCAUGUGUAGCGGUGAAAUGCGUAGAUAUAUGGAGGAACACCGGUGGCGAAAGCGGCUCUCUGGUCUGUAACUGACGCUGAGGCUCGAAAGCGUGGGGAGCGAACAGG